This 965-nucleotide unclassified non-coding RNA is filed under the name Hevea brasiliensis (rubber tree). The record is from RNAcentral. Lineage: Eukaryota; Viridiplantae; Streptophyta; Magnoliopsida; Malpighiales; Euphorbiaceae.
UGCCUCCAGAGAUUGCUUCAUCUGCAUCCAGCAUUGUAGCAAAGUGGCAAAACACAGCUAGUGUCAUAACUUAAAACACCAGUAUUGGUAGGAUACAAUGCAAUGAUAAAUGUAAAAUAGUAAAAUAUAAAGGUCGUUCUGUUCCUAUGUUUGGUUGCACAAAUAAAAGAAAAUGAAUGUAAUAGUUUUUGUUUCGACAUUUAAUUUAUUUGGCAGUGGUUGUAGUGGUGGCAACAAAACAGCAAUUGUGGCAUCUGGGUGGUGGUAGUGAUUGUGAUGGCUGUGCAGGGAAGGGGUGAGAGUUGUGCUGGUGGGAAAAGUAAAAAUGAGUAAUAAAGUGAUUAUAUAAAUUUUUGUAAGUACUAUAUCACAUUACAACUUCUAUUACAUUAUAUUAAAUAAAACCUAAAUGAAUGAGCAUGUAAAACUUGUAUUUAUUUGUUAAAAAUGCUAUUACCUUUCUCUAAUAGCAUUAUCAUAAAGCAACAACAACUUGCAAUCUUUCAAUAAAAAAAGAAAGACUUGCAAUUACAGUUAAAAAGGGUUUAUGAUAAUAACAUAAUAAUAUGUUUCUUUUUCUCAAGUGCAUAUUCUUGAUGGGUUAGCAAGUUCUCACUACCUUGUUUUUCAGGUCAUCCUAACAAGAAACAUUGACUUCCAUAUAUGUGCAUACAUAUUCAAGUACUACAGACUAUGUUGCCACAUUAACUGAUUAUUCUAUCAAAUAAAUGAAAACAUAGAUAUAACAAUUUUAUCCUGCUCUGAUGAGGAAUCUGUGCCCCAUCCUGAAUCCAACAAGGAAUUACUGCCACCAAAGAUAGCAGAGCGGCCAAUUUCCAUUCAUAUGGAGACAAAAAAGCCAUAGGUGCUACCAUAUUCAUUACACAGACCCAUAGUUUCAUUUAGAACAUUUUUAAAGUGUAUAUACAUGUGUGUGUGAGUGUGUGUGUGUGAGUGUGUGUGGA